UACGGGGGGAGCAAGCGUUGUUCGGAUUUACUGGGCUUAAAGGGCGCGUAGGCGGCCUCUUCAAGUCAAUUGGGAAAUCUCCGGGCUUAACUCGGAAAGGUCAACUGAUACUGCAGGGCUAGAGUGCGGAAGGGGCAACUGGAAUUCUCGGUGUAGCGGUGAAAUGCGUAGAUAUCGAGAGGAACACCUGCGGCGAAGGCGGGUUGCUGGGCCGACACUGACGCUGAAGCGCGAAAGCUAGGGGAGCGAACGGG
This 254-nucleotide ribosomal RNA is filed under the name uncultured bacterium. RNAcentral's name for it is "partial 16S ribosomal RNA". It matches the Rfam family "Bacterial small subunit ribosomal RNA", at positions 524 to 776 of the family's 1533-position model. The record is from RNAcentral.